GACGAACGCUGGCGGCGUGCUUAACACAUGCAAGUCGAACGGAAAGGCCCUGCUUUUGUGGGGUGCUCGAGUGGCGAACGGGUGAGUAACACGUGAGUAACCUGCCCUUGACUUUGGGAUAACUUCAGGAAACUGGGGCUAAUACCGGAUAGGAGCUCCUGCUGCAUGGUGGGGGUUGGAAAGUUUCGGCGGUUGGGGAUGGACUCGCGGCUUAUCAGCUUGUUGGUGGGGUAGUGGCUUACCAAGGCUUUGACGGGUAGCCGGCCUGAGAGGGUGACCGGCCACAUUGGGACUGAGAUACGGCCCAGACUCCUACGGGAGGCAGCAGUGGGGGAUAUUGCACAAUGGGCGGAAGCCUGAUGCAGCAACGCCGCGUGCGGGAUGACGGCCUUCGGGUUGUAAACCGCUUUCGCCUGUGACGAGGCGUGAGUGACGGUAAUGGGUAAAGAAGCACCGGCUAACUACGUG
Molecule: ribosomal RNA, 468 nt
Filed under: uncultured bacterium
Lineage: Bacteria
Description: partial 16S ribosomal RNA
Rfam family: Bacterial small subunit ribosomal RNA
Source: RNAcentral